This 497-nucleotide ribosomal RNA is filed under the name uncultured bacterium. RNAcentral describes it as "partial 16S ribosomal RNA". It matches the Rfam family "Bacterial small subunit ribosomal RNA", at positions 28 to 507 of the family's 1533-position model. The record is from RNAcentral.
GAUGAACGCUGGCGGCGUGCCUAAUACAUGCAAGUCGAGCGAACAGACGAGGAGCUUGCUCCUCUGACGUUAGCGGCGGACGGGUGAGUAACACGUGGAUAACCUACCUAUAAGACUGGGAUAACUUCGGGAAACCGGAGCUAAUACCGGAUAAUAUAUUUAACCGCAUGGUUCAAUAGUGAAAGACGGUUUUGCUGUCACUUAUAGAUUGAUCCGCGCCGCAUUAGCUAGUUGGUAAGGUAACGGCUUACCAAGGCAACGAUGCGUAGCCGACCUGAGAGGGUGAUCGGCCACACUGGAACUGAGACACGGUCCAGACUCCUACGGGAGGCAGCAGUAGGGAAUCUUCCGCAAAGGGCGAAAGGCUGACGGAGCAACGCCGCGUGAGUGAUGAAGGUCUUCGGAUCGUAAAACUCUGUUAGUAGGGAAGAACAAAUGUGUAAGUAACUAUGCACGUCUUGACGGUACCUAAUCAGAAAGCCACGGCUAACUACGUG